This 21-nucleotide non-coding RNA is filed under the name Caenorhabditis elegans. Lineage: Eukaryota; Metazoa; Nematoda; Chromadorea; Rhabditida; Rhabditidae. The record is from RNAcentral.
UUUUAAAGAAUCUUUUGCGGA